Molecule: long non-coding RNA, 338 nt
Organism: Varroa destructor (honeybee mite)
Lineage: Eukaryota; Metazoa; Arthropoda; Arachnida; Mesostigmata; Varroidae
Source: RefSeq, a predicted model, not a curated record
AUAAAGAUCACACUUGUAAACACCGUGUUCGAAGACGCUGCCAUCGUAGGCAGCGAUUGUGGACAACCUUUGUUCAUGACUUCGCUUGCCUGCCGAUUUCAGCAUCAGUCUAUUGAUUUCAAAGUGCAACGAGGAAAUCUAGAUACCAGAUCCAGGUGUUUACUGGAUGAUUUAAUGAUAGCGGAUUAUCUGAUCCUAGGAGAUGGCGUAAAAGCGGGCUAUUUAUACUGCAUAUCAACGAACCAUUACUGUCUCAGGUCGCGGCCAUCUUGCCAGGAAAAGCCGAGAGGAGCGACAGGAGUCGUGCUCCAACCAGCGCUUCGAACAGCCACCAGGCG